GGUCAAGCGAUUAAGCGCAUACGGUGGAUGCCUUGGCAGCCAGAGGCGAUGAAGGACGUGAUAGCCUGCGAUAAGCGUUGGCGAGGUGGCAAAUACCCUGCGACCCAACGAUUUCCGAAUGGGGAAACCCACUCACCAUCAGGUGAGUAUCUAUAGGCCAAUACAUAACCUAUAGAGGCAAACCCGGGGAACUGAAACAUCUAAGUACCCGGAGGAAAAGAAAUCAACCGAGAUUCCCCAAGUAGCGGCGAGCGAACGGGGACCAGCCCUUAAGCGUGACAACUGACAGACGAACAAGCUGGGAAGCUUGACGAUACAGGGUGAUAGUCCCGUAGUCGAAGUCUGAGUCACGUGAAAUCGAGUAGGUCGGGGCACGAGAAACCUUGACUGAACAUGGGGGGACCAUCCUCCAAGGCUAAAUACUCCUGGCUGACCGAUAGUGAACCAGUACCGUGAGGGAAAGGCGAAAAGAACCCCGGCGAGGGGAGUGAAAUAGAUCCUGAAACCGUAUGCGUACAAGCAGUGGGAGCACCUUCGUGGUGUGACCGCGUACCUUUUGUAUAAUGGGUCAGCGACUUAUAUUCUGUGGCGAGCUUAACCGUAUAGGGGAGGCGUAGGGAAACCGAGUCUUAACUGGGCGACCAGUCGCAGGGUAUAGACCCGAAACCGGGCGAUCUAUCCAUGGCCAGGGUGAAGAUUGAGUAACAUCAAUUGGAGGCCCGAACCCAAGUAUGUUGAAAAAUGCUGGGAUGAGCUGUGGAUCGGAGUGAAAGGCUAAUCAAGCCCGGAGAUAGCUGGUUCUCCUCGAAAGCUAUUUAGGUAGCGCCUCACGUAUCACCGCUGGGGGUAGAGCACUGUUUCGGCUAGGGGGUCAUCCCGACUUACCAACCCGAGGCAAACUCCGAAUACCAGUGAGUGCAGCGUGGGAGACACACAGCGGGUGCUAACGUCCGUUGUGAAAAGGGAAACAACCCAGACCGUCAGCUAAGGUCCCAAAAUCCUGAUUAAGUGGGAAACGAUGUGGGAAGGCUCAGACAGCUAGGAGGUUGGCUUAGAAGCAGCCAUCCUUUAAAGAAAGCGUAAUAGCUCACUAGUCGAGUCGGCCUGCGCGGAAGAUAUAACGGGGCUAAAUCAGGUACCGAAGCUACGGGUUCAUCCUCUGGAUGAGCGGUAGAGGAGCGUCGUGUAAGCCAAUGAAGGUGGAUUGAGAAGUCUGCUGGAGGUAUCACGAGUGCGAAUGCUGACAUGAGUAACGAUAAGGGGAGUGAAAAACUCCCCCGCCGGAAGACCAAGGUUUUCUGUUCUACGUUAAUCGGAGCAGAGUGAGUCGGCCCCUAAGGCGAGGCGGAAACGCGUAGUCGAUGGGAAACGGGUUAAUAUUCCCGUACCGGAUGUGGUUGCGAUGGGGGGACGAAGAAGGCUAGGUGAGCCAGGCGUUGGUUGUCCUGGUGAAAGCAUGUAGGCCGAGGAAUCAGGCAAAUCCGGUUCCUCUGAGGUCGAGAUGCGAGACGAACUGACCACGGUCAGGAAGUCAUCGAUGCCACGCUUCCAGGAAAAGCCUCUAAGCUUCAGAUCACAUGCGACCGUACCCCAAACCGACACAGGUGGUCAGGUAGAGAAUACCAAGGCGCUUGAGAGAACUCGGGUGAAGGAACUAGGCAAAAUGGCACCGUAACUUCGGGAGAAGGUGCACCGGUUCGAGUGAAGGACUUGCUCCGUAAGCUCYUACCGGUCGAAGAUACCAGGUGGCUGCAACUGUUUAUUAAAAACACAGCACUCUGCAAACGCGCAAGCGGACGUAUAGGGUGUGACGCCUGCCCGGUGCCGGAAGGUUAAUUGAUGGGGUUAGCUCACGCGAAGCUCUUGAUCGAAGCCCCGGUAAACGCUUGAAAUACCAGCCUGACAUCAUUGGCGUUCUAACUCAGGUCCGUUAUCCGGAUCGAGGACAGUGUAUGGUGGGUAGUUUGACUGGGGCGGUCUCCUCCUAAAGAGUAACGGAGGAGCACGAAGGUACCCUCAGCACGGUUGGAAAUCGUGCAUUGAGUGCAAGAGCAUAAGGGUGCUUGACUGCGAGACAGACACGUCGAGCAGGUACGAAAGUAGGUUCUAGUGAUCCGGUGGUUCUGUAUGGAAGGGCCAUCGCUCAACGGAUAAAAGGUACUCCGGGGAUAACAGGCUGAUACCGCCCAAGAGUUCACAUCGACGGCGGUGUUUGGCACCUCGAUGUCGGCUCAUCACAUCCUGGGGCUGAAGUCGGUCCCAAGGGUAUGGCUGUUCGCCAUUUAAAGUGGUACGCGAGCUGGGUUUAGAACGUCGUGAGACAGUUCGGUCCCUAUCUGCCGUGGGCGUCGGAAGUUUGAGAAGAGCUGCUCCUAGUACGAGAGGACCGGAGUGGACGAACCUCUGGUGUUCGGGUUGUCAUGCCAAUGGCAUUGCCCGGUAGCUACGUUCGGACGGGAUAACCGCUGAAAGCAUCUAAGCGGGAAGCCCCCUUCAAGAUGAGACUUCCCUGAGGCCUUGCGCCUCCUGAAGGGCCCUUGAAGACUACAAGGUUGAUAGGCUGGGUGUGGAAGCACAGCAAUGUGUUGAGCUAACCAGUACUAAUUGCCCGUGAGGCUUGACCAU
RNAcentral lists this ribosomal RNA (2625 nucleotides) under Cobetia sp. UCD-24C. RNAcentral's name for it is "Bacterial large subunit ribosomal RNA". It matches the Rfam family "Bacterial large subunit ribosomal RNA". The record is from Rfam by way of RNAcentral. Lineage: Bacteria; Pseudomonadati; Pseudomonadota; Gammaproteobacteria; Oceanospirillales; Halomonadaceae.